AACCUUUACAAUGCACGCAAGUGUGAUAAGGGAACCCCAAGUGCUUAUGCUUAGCAUAGGCUUUUGCCAAGAGCAAAAAUCUUGGCGAAUAAAUGGUGGGUAAGACUGGUGCCAGCAGCCGCGGUAACACCAGCGCCAUGAGUGGCAAUCGGAAUUAUUGGGCCUAAAGCGUCCGUAGCCGGUUUGAUAAGUCUUUUGUGAAAUCGUUGUGCUUAACAUAACGUUGUGCAAGAGAUACUGUCGAACUUGGAACCGGGAGGAGUCAGAGGUAUUCUAGGGGGAGCGGUAAAAUGCUGUAAUCCCUGGAGGACCGCCUGUGGCGAAAGCGUCUGACUAGAACGGAUUCGACGGUGAGGGACGAAAGCCAGGGGAGCAAACCGG
This 381-nucleotide ribosomal RNA is filed under the name uncultured archaeon. Its description in RNAcentral is "bacterial SSU rRNA". It matches the Rfam family "Archaeal small subunit ribosomal RNA", at positions 345 to 727 of the family's 1478-position model. The record is from RNAcentral.